ACGCACGCUGGCGGCGUGCCUAAUACAUGCCAGUAGAACGCACAGUUUAUACCGUAGCUUGCUACACCAUAGACUGUGAGUUGCGAACGGGUGAGUAACGCGUAGGUAACCUGCCUGGUAGCGGGGGAUAACUAUUGGAAACGAUAGCUAAUACCGCAUAAUAUUGAUUAUUGCAUGAUAAUUAAUUGAAAGGUGCAAUUGCACCACUACCAGAUGGACCUGCGUUGUAUUAGCUAGUAGGUGAGGUAACGGCUCACCUAGGCGACGAUACAUAGCCGACCUGAGAGGGUGAUCGGCCACACUGGGACUGAGACACGGCCCAGACUCCUACGGGAGGCAGCAGUAGGGAAUCUUCGGCAAUGGACGAAAGUCUGACCGAGCAACGCCGCGUGAGUGAAGAAGGUUUUCGGAUCGUAAAGCUCUGUUGUAAGAGAAGAACGGGUGUGAGAGUGGAAAGUUCACACUGUGACGGUAGCUGACCAGAAAGGGACGGCUAACUACGUG
RNAcentral lists this ribosomal RNA (504 nucleotides) under uncultured bacterium. RNAcentral describes it as "partial 16S ribosomal RNA". It matches the Rfam family "Bacterial small subunit ribosomal RNA", at positions 29 to 507 of the family's 1533-position model. The record is from RNAcentral.